ACGCACGCUGGCGGCAUGCCUAACACAUGCAAGUCGAACGAGACCUUCGGGUCUAGUGGCGCACGGGUGCGUAACGCGUGGGAACCUGCCCUUAGGUUCGGAAUAACUCCCCGAAAGGGGUGCUAAUACCGGAUAAUGUCUUCGGACCAAAGAUUUAUCGCCUUUGGAUGGGCCCGCGUUGGAUUAGCUAGUUGGUAGGGUAAAAGCCUACCAAGGCGACGAUCCAUAGCUGGUCUGAGAGGAUGAUCAGCCACACGGGGACUGAGACACGGCCCAGACUCGGAGGGGAGGCAGUGGGGGGGAAGAUUGGAGCACAGACGACGGCCUGAGGCAGCAGUGGGGAGUGAGUGACGGAGGGGUGAGGCUGGAACCGACCUUUGCGCGGGAGUGAUAACGGCAGGAGGGGGGGAAUGAGCUCUUGCCAACGCGGUGCCAGCCGCGUCGGAUAGAAGAAACGCACGCUCAUUCCG
RNAcentral lists this ribosomal RNA (470 nucleotides) under uncultured bacterium. RNAcentral describes it as "partial 16S ribosomal RNA". The stretch from base 15 to 339 matches the Rfam family "Bacterial small subunit ribosomal RNA", at positions 43 to 396 of the family's 1533-position model. The record is from RNAcentral.